RNAcentral lists this transfer RNA (73 nucleotides) under Chitinophagaceae bacterium. Its description in RNAcentral is "tRNA-Thr". It matches the Rfam family "tRNA". Rfam says of the family: Transfer RNA (tRNA) molecules are approximately 80 nucleotides in length. Their secondary structure includes four short double-helical elements and three loops (D, anti-codon, and T loops). The record is from RNAcentral. RNAcentral also lists the same sequence under 1 other name. Lineage: Bacteria; Pseudomonadati; Bacteroidota; Chitinophagia; Chitinophagales; Chitinophagaceae.
GCCAUCUUAGCUCAGUUGGUAGAGCAGCUGUUUCGUAAAUAGCAGGUCGGGGGUUCGAGUCCCUUAGGUGGCU